This 1315-nucleotide long non-coding RNA is filed under the name Mus musculus (house mouse). RNAcentral's name for it is "predicted gene, 50056". Lineage: Eukaryota; Metazoa; Chordata; Mammalia; Rodentia; Muridae. The record is from RNAcentral.
CACAUACAGGACCCCACAGAGUGCGAUGACAAAGGAUGGAUGGACAGAAUCAAGUUCUAGGUGGCAUCGAGACAGAAGGAUCCUCACAGCACAAAGCAUCGAUGACACAGAAGCUCUUAUCCAGAAGCCCUCGCGCCCGCAGUCCUGGGAACAAAGACUCUGAUCACCAGCGUCACCUGGCAAGCAAAGGACAGUCACAAACAGAGAUGUCUACAAUCUGGUCAAGCUGAAUCCCACAGUAGCCUGCCGCAAGGACAUUCAUGUCACAUACAGAGAGGUCCUUGUGGUGAGGAGCUCAGGCUGUGAGAAUCCACAGCUGGUCUUAGACAAGUGGGCUUGGAUAUGGAUCCUCCCAAGACGAUCUACCACGUGUGAUCUUGGCCCUAAGGACAGCGUGAAUUCCUCCUCGUGAGAAGACCUCCUGGAUCUCUAAUCCUCUGAAACUGUUGGAAAUGGCAGUUACCAUGUUAAGUAUUUUAAGUGCAGUAGUCAUGGAACAAGAAAAGAGUAAUGCAGAGCCCUUUGUCACAUUGUACUGUGCCUAUGGAAGGUGUCUUCCCUGACCUCCAUGUUUAAAGCUUCAUCAAUCACAAGGGCACUUUAAAAGAAUGUACUAUAAAAUGAUCUAUAGAGACCAAUGCUUGACAGCUUCAGCCUAGGCUUAUCAUGAAACAAGCGCGCUGCUGUAGUCACAUGGUAGCCACCUUCCUCUGUCAAUUGUUCUAAAUGUGGGUGCAGUAGAGCGUUGCAUACACCAAGCACUUAGGACAGUCAAACUGGAAUCUGAAGAUCCCAGAGCCUUGGUGGAGCAAUCUUACAGGGACAACAACUUGUGUUAGUAAAUGUACAAUACCAAUGGAAUUCUGAACCCUGACCCUUCUUUGGGUUCUUAGUUCUUUGAAAUUAAACCUGUACAAAACCAGGAAGUUUUCCCCAGCCAGCCAUCACAGAUGGAGUGUCCGGCUUUCAUUUCUUCCAGGUUCACUUAGAAACCAUAAUGAGUAUUUCUGUAUCAUUGGCAAUCAACACCAGUACCUGCACCUCUUAAGAAAAUCUUAAUCAGAUUAAUUUCUUUGUAGUCUCUGUAUUCUCAUUAGUUUUGCCUGGAGGGUCUAUGACACUGUUUCAAAAUGUAAAGAAAGCACUUCAAUUUGUUUAUUGUGUAAAAUGGAAGUAUCACUGAGGUUCCCUCCUUAAAUAAGAAUGUUUAAAUGUAUAUAUUUUAGAGACAACCCUAUUUCUUUUACAUAUUAUACAUUACAGUCAAAUGUGGUUUUCUUUUUCAGUAAUGGCACAGGUUCUAAUAAUAUAUUUA